RNAcentral lists this ribosomal RNA (890 nucleotides) under Dactylellina appendiculata. Its description in RNAcentral is "LSU rRNA". It matches the Rfam family "Eukaryotic large subunit ribosomal RNA", at positions 36 to 945 of the family's 3401-position model. Lineage: Eukaryota; Fungi; Ascomycota; Orbiliomycetes; Orbiliales; Orbiliaceae. The record is from RNAcentral.
UAGCAUAUCAAUAAGCGGAGGAAAAGAAACCAACAGGGAUUGCCUCAGUAACGGCGAGUGAAGCGGCAAGAGCUCAAAUUUGAAAUCUGGAGCCUUCGGCUUCCGAGUUGUAAUUUGAAGAGGAUGUUUCGGUCGCGGCCUGGGCCUAAGUUCCUUGGAACAGGACGUCAUGGAGGGUGAGAAUCCCGUACAUGGCUGCAGGCUUGCUUCUAUGUGAAACUCCUUCGACGAGUCGAGUUGUUUGGGAAUGCAGCUCAAAAUGGGUGGUAAAUUUCAUCUAAAGCUAAAUAUUGGCGGGAGACCGAUAGCGCACAAGUAGAGUGAUCGAAAGAUGAAAAGCACUUUGAAAAGAGAGUUAAACAGUACGUGAAAUUGUUGAAAGGGAAGCGCUUGCGAUCAGACUCGCUUUCGGUUGAUCAACGUUCCUUCUGGUUCGUGCACUCUGCCGUUUGCGGGCCAGCAUCGGUUGGGGCGGCGGGACAAAGGCUUCGGGAAUGUGGCUCUCUUCGGGGAGUGUUAUAGCCCGUCGCGUCAUGCCGCCAGCUCCGACCGAGGUCCGCGGUUCGCCUAGGAUGCUGGCUUAAUGGUCGUAAGCGACCCGUCUUGAAACACGGACCAAGGAGUCUAACAUCUAUGCGAGUCUUUGGGUGUCAAACCCAUGGGCGAAAUGAAAGUGAACGGAGGUGGGAGUCCUCGGAUGCACCAUCGACCGAUCCUGAUGUUCUCGGAUGGAUUUGAGUAUGAGCAUAGCUGUUGGGACCCGAAAGAUGGUGAACUAUGCCUGAAUAGGGUGAAGCCAGAGGAAACUCUGGUGGAGGCUCGCAGCGGUUCUGACGUGCAAAUCGAUCGUCAAAUUUGGGUAUAGGGGCGAAAGACUAAUCGAACCAUCU